This 465-nucleotide ribosomal RNA is filed under the name uncultured bacterium. RNAcentral's name for it is "partial 16S ribosomal RNA". It matches the Rfam family "Bacterial small subunit ribosomal RNA", at positions 28 to 507 of the family's 1533-position model. The record is from RNAcentral.
GACGAACGCUGGCGGCGUGCUUAACACAUGCAAGUCGUACGGUAAGGCCCUUUCGGGGGUACACGAGUGGCGCACGGGUGAGUAACACGUGAGUAACCUGCCCACAACUUUGGGAUAACGCUAGGAAACUGGUGCUAAUACUGGAUAUGUGCUCCUGCUGCAUGGUGGGGGUUGGAAAGCUCCGGCGGUUGUGGAUGGACUCGCGGCCUAUCAGCUUGUUGGUGGGGUAGUGGCCUACCAAGGCGGCGACGGGUAGCCGGCCUGAGAGGGUGACCGGCCACAUUGGGACUGAGAUACGGCCCAGACGCCGACGGGAGGCAGCAGUGGGGAAUAUUGCACAAUGGGCGCAAGCCUGAUGCAGAAACGCCGCGUGCGGGAUGACGGCCUUCGGGUUGUAAACCGCUUUCAGCAGGGACGAAGCUUUUUGUGACGGUACCUGCAGAAGAAGCACCGGCUAACUACGUG